GGGGGUAUAGCUCAGUGGUAGAGCACGUGCUUAGCAUGCACGAGGUCCUGGGUUCAAUCCCCAGUACUUCUG
Molecule: transfer RNA, 72 nt
Filed under: Camelus bactrianus (Bactrian camel)
Lineage: Eukaryota; Metazoa; Chordata; Mammalia; Artiodactyla; Camelidae
Also listed under: 2 other names
Rfam family: tRNA
About the family: Transfer RNA (tRNA) molecules are approximately 80 nucleotides in length. Their secondary structure includes four short double-helical elements and three loops (D, anti-codon, and T loops). Further hydrogen bonds mediate the characteristic L-shaped molecular structure. tRNAs have two regions of fundamental functional importance: the anti-codon, which is responsible for specific mRNA codon recognition, and the 3' end, to which the tRNAs corresponding amino acid is attached (by aminoacyl-tRNA synthetases). tRNAs cope with the degeneracy of the genetic code in two manners: having more than one tRNA (with a specific anti-codon) for a particular amino acid; and 'wobble' base-pairing, i.e. permitting non-standard base-pairing at the 3rd anti-codon position.
Source: Rfam by way of RNAcentral